Molecule: ribosomal RNA, 492 nt
Filed under: uncultured bacterium
Lineage: Bacteria
Description: partial 16S ribosomal RNA
Rfam family: Bacterial small subunit ribosomal RNA
Source: RNAcentral
AGUGAACGCUGGCGGUAGGCCUAACACAUGCAAGUCGAGCGGCAGCACAGUAAGAGCUUGCUCUUACGGGUGGCGAGUGGCGGACGGGUGAGGAAUACAUCGGAAUCUACUUUUUCGUGGGGGAUAACGUAGGGAAACUUACGCUAAUACCGCAUACGACCUACGGGUGAAUGCAGGGGAUCUUCGGACCUUGCGCGAUUGAAUGAGCCGAUGUCGGAUUAGCUAGUUGGCGGGGUAAAGGCCCACCAAGGCGACGAUCCGUAGCUGGUCUGAGAGGAUGAUCAGCCACACUGGAACUGAGACACGGUCCAGACGCCUACGGGAGGCAGCAGUGGGGAAUAUUGGGCAAUGGGCGCAAGCCUGAUCCAGCCAUGCCGCGUGAGUGAAGAAGGCCUUCGGGUUGUAAAACCCUUUUGUUGGGAAAGAAAAACAGCAGGAUAAUACCCCGCUGUUCUGACGGUACCCAAAGAAUAAGCACCGGCUAACUUCGUG